Schistosoma curassoni is the source of this 45-nucleotide non-coding RNA. The record is from Rfam. Lineage: Eukaryota; Metazoa; Platyhelminthes; Trematoda; Strigeidida; Schistosomatidae.
UUCCAGUUGACGAGUCCUAAAUAGGACGAAACGCGCUUCAUGAAG